Molecule: ribosomal RNA, 731 nt
Filed under: uncultured Staphylococcus sp.
Lineage: Bacteria; Bacillati; Bacillota; Bacilli; Caryophanales; Staphylococcaceae
Description: bacterial SSU rRNA
Rfam family: Bacterial small subunit ribosomal RNA
Source: RNAcentral
UGCCUAAUACAUGCAAGUCGAGCGAACAGACGAGGAGCUUGCUUCUCUGACGUUAGCGGCGGACGGGUGAGUAACACGUGGAUAACCUACCUAUAAGACUGGGAUAACUUCGGGAAACCGGAGCUAAUACCGGAUAAUAUAUUGAACCGCAUGGUUCAAUAGUGAAAGACGGUUUUGCUGUCACUUAUAGAUGGAUCCGCGCCGCAUUAGCUAGUUGGUAAGGUAACGGCUUACCAAGGCAACGAUGCGUAGCCGACCUGAGAGGGUGAUCGGCCACACUGGAACUGAGACACGGUCCAGACUCCUACGGGAGGCAGCAGUAGGGAAUCUUCCGCAAUGGGCGAAAGCCUGACGGAGCAACGCCGCCGUGAGUGAUGAAGGUCUUCGGAUCGUAAAACUCUGUUAUUAGGGAAGAACAAAUGCGUAAGUAACUAUGCACGUCUUGACGGUACCUAAUCAGAAAGCCACGGCUAACUACGUGCCAGCAGCCGCGGUAAUACGUAGGUGGCAAGCGUUAUCCGGAAUUAUUGGGCGUAAAGCGCGCGUAGGCGGUUUUUUAAGUCUGAUGUGAAAGCCCACGGCUCAACCGUGGAGGGUCAUUGGAAACUGGAAAACUUGAGUGCAGAAGAGGAAAGUGGAAUUCCAUGUGUAGCGGUGAAAUGCGCAGAGAUAUGGAGGUACACCAGUGGCGAAGGCGACUUUCUGGUCUGUAACUGACGCUGAUGUGCGAA